CCUACGGGAGGCAGCAGUGAGGAAUAUUGGUCAAUGGACGAGAGUCUGAACCAGCCAAGUAGCGUGAAGGAUGACUGCCCUAUGGGUUGUAAACUUCUUUUAUAUGGGAAUAAAAUGUUCCACGUGUGGGAUUUUGUAUGUACCAUAUGAAUAAGGAUCGGCUAACUCCGUGCCAGCAGCCGCGGUAAUACGGAGGAUCCGAGCGUUAUCCGGAUUUAUUGGGGUUAAAGGGAGCGUAGGUGGAUUGUUAAGUCAGUUGUGAAAGUUUGCGGCUCAACCGUAAAAUUGCAGUUGAAACUGGCAGUCUUGAGUACAGUAGAGGUGGGCGGAAUUCGUGGUGUAGCGGUGAAAUGCUUAGAUAUCACGAAGAACUCCGAUUGCGAAGGCAGUUCACUGGACUGCAACUGACACUGAGGCUCGAAAGUGUGGGUAUCAAACAGGAUGAGAUACCCUUGUAGUC
Molecule: ribosomal RNA, 460 nt
Filed under: uncultured bacterium
Lineage: Bacteria
Description: partial 16S ribosomal RNA
Rfam family: Bacterial small subunit ribosomal RNA
Source: RNAcentral